This is a non-coding RNA of Phascolarctos cinereus (koala), 277 nucleotides long. Lineage: Eukaryota; Metazoa; Chordata; Mammalia; Diprotodontia; Phascolarctidae. The record is from RefSeq and is a predicted model, not a curated record.
CUCACCUUGGGUUUGAGACCUGUUGAUUACCCUUAACCUGGUUUAGCCUGUCUGCCAAGAUGGUCUUACCAGGGUGUAGCUGCUGUUCAUCCUACAGCUUCUUGGAGCCACAGCUGGAAAAUUGUUCCUUGGCUCUCUCUGGAUGUCUGCCUCAUGCAUUCAGAUUUGUGACCAAUGAAGAUCAGUACCUUCUGUGCAGCUUGGAGUCUCAGAAAAUUGCCUGGAACCAUUGACACAUUAGUUAAUUUGCCCAGGAACAAGGGGCUACCUGUGUGUC